GAUGAACGCUGGCGGCGUGCCUAAUACAUGCAAGUCGAGCGAACGGACGAGAAGCUUGCUUCUCUGAUGUUAGCGGCGGACGGGUGAGUAACACGUGGAUAACCUACCUAUAAGACUGGGAUAACUUCGGGAAACCGGAGCUAAUACCGGAUAAUAUUUUGAACCGCAUGGUUCAAAAGUGAAAGACGGUCUUGCUGUCACUUAUAGAUGGAUCCGCGCUGCAUUAGCUAGUUGGUAAGGUAACGGCUUACCAAGGCGACGAUGCAUAGCCGACCUGAGAGGGUGAUCGGCCACACUGGAACUGAGACACGGUCCAGACUCCCACGGGAGGCAGCAGUAGGGAAUCUUCCGCAAUGGGCGAAAGCCUGAUGGAGCAACGCCGCGUGAGUGAUGAAGGUCUUCGGAUCGUAAAACUCUGUUAUUAGGGAAGAACAUAUGUGUAAGUAACUGUGCACAUCUUGACGGUACCUAAUCAGAAAGCCACGGCUAACUACGUGCCAGCAGCCGCGGUAAUACGUAGGUGGCAAGCGUUAUCCGGGAUUAUUGGGCGUAAAGCGCGCGUAAGCCGGUUUUUUAGUCUGAUGUGAAAGCCCACGGCUCAACCGUGGAGGGUCAUUGGAAACUGGAAAACUUGAGUGCAGAAGAGGAAAGUGGAAUUCCAUGUGUAGCGGUGAAAUGCGCAGAGAUAUGGAGGAACACCAGUGGCGAAGGCGACUUUCUGGUCUGUAACUGACGCUGAUGUGCGAAAGCGUGGGGAUCAAACAGGAUUAGAUACCCUGGUAGUCCACGCCGUAAACGAUGAGUGCUAAGUGUUAGGGGGUUUCCGCCCCUUAGUGCUGCAGCUAACGCAUUAAGCACUCCGCCUGGGGAGUACGACCGCAAGGUUGAAACUCAAAGGAAUUGACGGGGACCCGCACAAGCGGUGGAGCAUGUGGUUUAAUUCGAAGCAACGCGAAGAACCUUACCAAAUCUUGACAUCCUUUGACAACUCUAGAGAUAGAGCCUUCCCCUUCGGGGGGGCAAAGUGACAGGUGGUGCAUGGUUGUCGUCAGCUCGUGUCGUGAGAUGUUGGGUUAAGUCCCGCAACGAGCGCAACCCUUAAGCUUAGUUGCCAUCAUUAAGUUGGGCACUCUAAGUUGACUGCCGGUGACAAACCGGAGGAAGGUGGGGAUGACGUCAAAUCAUCAUGCCCCUUAUGAUUUGGGCUACACACGUGCUACAAUGGACAAUACAAAGGGCAGCGAAACCGCGAGGUCAAGCAAAUCCCAUAAAGUUGUUCUCAGUUCGGAUUGUAGUCUGCAACUCGACUACAUGAAGCUGGAAUCGCUAGUAAUCGUAGAUCAGCAUGCUACGGUGAAUACGUUCCCGGGUCU
Molecule: ribosomal RNA, 1373 nt
Filed under: uncultured bacterium
Lineage: Bacteria
Description: bacterial SSU rRNA
Rfam family: Bacterial small subunit ribosomal RNA
Source: RNAcentral